RNAcentral lists this non-coding RNA (23 nucleotides) under Mus musculus (house mouse). Lineage: Eukaryota; Metazoa; Chordata; Mammalia; Rodentia; Muridae. The record is from RNAcentral.
GGACAUAGUACUACCGGAGGAUC